CAUUACCNAAAUAUGNAAGCCGGACUGGGAUAGGGCCUCGCUGCCUUGCCCGUCUGGCGCCAUAUUCACCCAUGUCUUUUUGCGUACUACUUGUUUCCUUGGCGGGUCCGCCCGCCAAUUGGACCUUAUUCAAACCUUUUUUUCAGUUGCAAUCAGCGUCAGCAAAACAAAUGUAAUCAAUUACAACUUUCAACAACGGAUCUCUUGGUUCUGGCAUCGAUGAAGAACGCAGCGAAAUGCGAUAAGUAGUGUGAAUUGCAGAAUUCAGUGAAUCAUCGAAUCUUUGAACGCACAUUGCGCCCUUUGGUAUUCCAAAGGGCAUGCCUGUUCGAGCGUCAUUUGUACCCUCAAGCUUUGCUUGGUGUUGGGCGUCUUGUCUCUCUCCCGAGACUCGCCUUAAAAUCAUUGGCAGCCGGCCUACUGGUUUCGGAGCGCAGCACAUUAUUUGCGCUCUUGUCCAGCCGCGGUCGCGCGUCCAUGAAGCUUCUUUCAACCUUUUGACCUCGGAUCAGGUAGG
This 517-nucleotide ribosomal RNA is filed under the name Pyrenophora tritici-repentis. RNAcentral describes it as "eukaryotic LSU rRNA". The stretch from base 185 to 338 matches the Rfam family "5.8S ribosomal RNA". The record is from RNAcentral. Lineage: Eukaryota; Fungi; Ascomycota; Dothideomycetes; Pleosporales; Pleosporaceae.